AGGAGCUUGCUCCGUCCACUCCACGCAUCG
This 30-nucleotide non-coding RNA is filed under the name Cricetulus griseus (Chinese hamster). The record is from RNAcentral. Lineage: Eukaryota; Metazoa; Chordata; Mammalia; Rodentia; Cricetidae. RNAcentral also lists the same sequence under 1 other name.